RNAcentral lists this long non-coding RNA (364 nucleotides) under Calidris pygmaea (Spoon-billed sandpiper). Its description in RNAcentral is "lncRNA (ENSCPGG00000009245.1)". Lineage: Eukaryota; Metazoa; Chordata; Aves; Charadriiformes; Scolopacidae. The record is from RNAcentral.
ACCAACCAUUGCUGAGCUGAUUGGAACCAGAUAUGCAAUGAUAGUGCUGGAAGGGCAAAGCUUCUUCCAAGGAGGUAGUGAUGGUGUCCUUCCAAGAGCAAAGAUCUGUUUCAGCUGCCGUAAGCAGAUGUUUCUUAAGUGGCCUUACAGUUGUUACCUCUGCAGCAGAUGUCCAUGCCCUUCAGAACAUGUGUACAUCUCCCACUUCACUUCUUAAAACUUUUGAAACUCUCCAGAGAGGAGGACCCUGCCACUCAAGAGCAGAAGAGCUCAGAGUUGCUGCAUGAAAUAGAGCACUGGGAGUGUUCUGGGUAAGUUGGGAGAGAUGUUUUGGGUUUUUUACCUUGAAAGAUGUUAACCAGUU